RNAcentral lists this ribosomal RNA (517 nucleotides) under Fusarium oxysporum. RNAcentral's name for it is "eukaryotic LSU rRNA". The stretch from base 180 to 333 matches the Rfam family "5.8S ribosomal RNA". Lineage: Eukaryota; Fungi; Ascomycota; Sordariomycetes; Hypocreales; Nectriaceae. The record is from RNAcentral.
UUCCGUAGGGGAACCUGUGGAGGGAUCAUUACCGAGUUUACAACUCCCAAACCCCUGUGAACAUACCACUUGUUGCCUCGGCGGAUCAGCCCGCUCCCGGUAAAACGGGACGGCCCGCCAGAGGACCCCUAAACUCUGUUUCUAUAUGUAACUUCUGAGUAAAACCAUAAAUAAAUCAAAACUUUCAACAACGGAUCUCUUGGUUCUGGCAUCGAUGAAGAACGCAGCAAAAUGCGAUAAGUAAUGUGAAUUGCAGAAUUCAGUGAAUCAUCGAAUCUUUGAACGCACAUUGCGCCCGCCAGUAUUCUGGCGGGCAUGCCUGUUCGAGCGUCAUUUCAACCCUCAAGCACAGCUUGGUGUUGGGACUCGCGUUAAUUCGCGUUCCUCAAAUUGAUUGGCGGUCACGUCGAGCUUCCAUAGCGUAGUAGUAAAACCCUCGUUACUGGUAAUCGUCGCGGCCACGCCGUUAAACCCCAACUUCUGAAUGUGACCUCGGAUCAGGUAGAAAGCCAAGUUC